This 194-nucleotide ribosomal RNA is filed under the name uncultured bacterium. RNAcentral describes it as "partial 16S ribosomal RNA". It matches the Rfam family "Bacterial small subunit ribosomal RNA", at positions 338 to 524 of the family's 1533-position model. The record is from RNAcentral.
CCUACGGGAGGCAGCAGUGGGGAAUAUUGGACAAUGGGCGCAAGCCUGAUCCAGCAACGCCGCGUGGAGGACGAAGGCCCUCGGGUCGUAAACUCCUGUCAGUGGGGACGAAAAAGUAGGGUCGAACAGGCCCUGCCAUUGACGGUACCCGCAGAGGAAGCCCCGGCUAACUCCGUGCCAGCAGCCGCGGUAAU